This 162-nucleotide small nuclear RNA is filed under the name Dasypus novemcinctus (nine-banded armadillo). RNAcentral describes it as "U1 spliceosomal RNA (ENSDNOG00000027414.1)". It matches the Rfam family "U1 spliceosomal RNA". Rfam says of the family: U1 is a small nuclear RNA (snRNA) component of the spliceosome (involved in pre-mRNA splicing). Its 5' end forms complementary base pairs with the 5' splice junction, thus defining the 5' donor site of an intron. There are significant differences in sequence and secondary structure between metazoan and yeast U1 snRNAs, the latter being much longer (568 nucleotides as compared to 164 nucleotides in human). Lineage: Eukaryota; Metazoa; Chordata; Mammalia; Cingulata; Dasypodidae. The record is from RNAcentral.
ACCCUUCCCUGGCAGGGGAGCCACCAUGGCCACGAAGGUGGACUCCCCAGGGAGACGCUCACCCCUGCGCUGUGGGGUGCUGACCCCUGCAAUUUUCCCAAAGGUGGGAAAGUUGACUGCAUAAUUUGUGGAGGUGGGAGACUGAAUUUGUGCUUUCAUAUA